AUUGGUUCACCCUUGUGUGACAAAGAGGGAACCGGGUGGGAAUCCCGGACAGUCCCGCUGCUGUGUGCGGCCUUUUGUCAGAACGAACACGGUGCCACUGACCACCCUUAGGAGGGCAUGUCGGGAAGGCGUUCGUCCUGGGCCGCGAGCCAGAAGACCUGCCGUUGCGAU
Molecule: non-coding RNA, 171 nt
Filed under: uncultured Prevotella sp.
Lineage: Bacteria; Pseudomonadati; Bacteroidota; Bacteroidia; Bacteroidales; Prevotellaceae
Source: RNAcentral